Molecule: long non-coding RNA, 14671 nt
Organism: Alligator mississippiensis (American alligator)
Lineage: Eukaryota; Metazoa; Chordata; Crocodylia; Alligatoridae
Exons: 2
Source: RefSeq, a predicted model, not a curated record
GGUCCUUGACUGCUUGCCAAAACUCAGAAAGUACCUUCCGCCCAAAAGAAUUGCCCAUCCCUGCUAUUAAUCUAAAUAAGGUUACUCUAAUAAAGAACUGAUGAAUAAGAUGAAAGCCUCACUUAUUCCUUUUCUGUGAAAUAAAGCAGUAUUUUAUCUAAUAUUACUGUAAUUAUGUAAAACUGUUCUUAGUGAAGUGUGAAUUUUAAAAGGGAAGUUGGGUGUUUAAACUUAUACAAUGACUGACUUCAAUAAAUACUUCUGUAACCCAUCUUAUUGUACAAAUAACUUUGAAAUGCAUAUAAGAAAUGGCUCAAAUUAAGUAAUUUCUUGAUCAACCAGUUUUCAGCAUGUUGAUUGUUAAUAUAUCCAGUUUUACAAAGUGAUAUGAGGUAUCUCUCAAAUCCUGUCUCACAUGUAUCAGUCAGAUAGCUGGGCUGUUGGAUAUGGAAUUUUUUUAGAUUGGAGGGAAAAAGGAUUUAUUGUGGUUAGGUCAUGCCCAGUAGUGGUUGGGAUAUUCUUAUGUUCUGUCAAUGGCAGUGGCCAGUAUUGGGUGUUUUAGAAAAAUAGAGACCCUAUUGUGAGUAAUUAUGAGGACCUGUCUCUUGAGUUUCUUUUCAAAUCCCAAUAAAUUCAGUCCUAUUAGGAAUAGUCUGACCCCUUUUAGGACAGUGGUGACUGCAGGGCCUACCAGUACCCAUUCCAUGGUGUGUUUAGGUCUUUAGAUUCCGUACGUAUUGGGUAACCAAAGAAUUACAGAGGCAGCUUUUUAGGAGAUGGUAUCCCAGAAGAUUAGGUUAUGAACCUCCAUAACAAAACAGUUUCUCUGCCUUCUGGUCUUAGAGCCACAGGACUUCACACGGUUUUGAGUAGGUUAACAGUUGGUGAAAUUUUGAAAUGUCUCACUUGUUAAGUUUGUCCACACCUGUACUGCAGUAAUUGUGAACUGGUUUCCCAUCAAUGACGCUUUGAUUGCCACGUGUAUCUGUACUCCUAGUUAUCAUAAGGGGGAAUAUGUUGUGUUAUUAUUUCAGAAAGCCCUAGGAUAAAGAAUCUUGAAGUCAUAGAAUCAUAGAAGUAGGGUCAGAAGGGACCUUGUAGAUCUUCAAGUCUGACCCCCUGCCUGGGCAGGAGGGAAACUGGGCUCAGGUGACCCCAGCCAGCUAGGCAUCGAGACUUCUUAAAGACCCCCAGGGUAGGAGCCAGCACCAGUUCCCUUGGAAGUCGGUUCCAGAUCCUAGCUGCCCUAAUGGAUGUCUAAUCUAAACCUACUCUCCAACAUCUUGUGGCCGUUAGUCCUUGUUAUCCCGGGGGGCGCUAGGGGAAACAAGGUCUCCCCCAAACCCUUCUGGUCCCCACUAGUGAGUUUAUAGAUGGUCACCAGGUCCCCCCUCAGCCUUCUCUUGUGAAGGCUGAACAGGUUCAGGUCCCGUAGCGUCUCAUUGUAGGGUCUGCCCUGCUGUCCCCGGAUCACGUGGGUGGCCCUCCUCUGGACCCUCUCAAUGUUGUCCACAUCCCUCUUGAAGUGGGGUGCCAGAACUGGACACAGUACUCCAGCUGCGGCCUGACCAGUGUCGUGUAGAGGGGGAGGAUCACCUCCUUGGCCCUACUUGAGAUGCACCUGUGGAUACAUGAUAGGGUCCGGUUAGCCCUGCCGACCAUGACCUCGUGUUGUCGGCCUAUGUUCAUCUUGGAGUCAGUGAUGACUCCAAGAUCCCUUUCUGCCUCCGUGCUCUCAAGAAGGGAGUUUCCCAUCUUAUAAGUGUGUUGCCAGUUACUGCUGCCCAAAUGCAGCACCCUGCACUUGUCCAUAUUGAAACGCAUCCUGUUUUUGUUAGCCCACCCUAGCAACCUAUCCAGGUCUUUCUGCAGUCUUUCCCUCCCUACUAGCAUGCCCACCUCACCCCAAAUUUUGGUAUCAUCAGCAAAUUUGAACAGGUUGCUUUUCACCCCGUCAUCCAAAUCGCUGAUAAAGAAAUUGAACAGUGCGGGCCCAAGGACCGAGCCCAGGGGGACUCCGCUGCCCACUUCCGCCCAGAUCGAAUAUGACCCAUCCACCACCACCCUCUGAGUUAUGACCCUUCAGCCAAUUAGCAAUCCAUCUGACCGUGUAGGCAUCGAUGCCACAGUUUUUUAAUGAGGAUGGGGUGGGAGACAGUGUCAGAGGCCUUGCUGAAGUCCAGAAAGACUACAUCCAUGGCAACACCUGCAUCCAAUGCUUUUAUGACCUGAUCGUAAAAGGCAAUCAGGUUGGUCUGACAUGACCUGCCCCUAAUGAAACCGUGCUGGUUGCCCCUGAGCAUCAUCCCUGAUGCCGGCCCAUCACAGAUGUGUUCCUUGAUGAUCAUCUCAAAGAGUUUCCCCAGGAUUGAGGUAAGACUGAUGGGCCUAUAGUUGCCUGGGUCCUCCCUCCUCCCUUUCUUAAAGAUGGGGACCACAUUGGCUAUCUUCCAAUCAUCUGGCACCUGGCCCGAGCACCACGAGCGCUCGUAAAGCUGUGCCAAGGGCCCAGCAAUAACCCCUGCUAGCUCCCUCAACACUUUGGGGUGGAGAGCAUCUGGACCUGCUGACUUGAACACGUCCAGCCCCUCCAGAAGCUCUCUAACCCGGUCCUCCUCAACCUUAGGUCUUGAGGCGUUCCCCACGAGUCCGUCUUGAAACACGGUGGGGGAGUCCCGGUCCCUGCACAAGAAAACAGAGGUAAAGAAUUUAUUAAAGAUGUCUGCCUUCUCCUCUGGCGCAACCACCAGAUUGCCCAGCGUAUCUUGCAGGGGCCCCACAUUUCCCGGUGCCCUCUUCAUCCUCCCUAUAUAUUUGAAAAAGGACUUUUUAUUAUCUUUGAUCUUGGACGCUAGUCCUAGCUCUAUGUCCGCCUUAGCUUUCCUAACAGCCCCCCUACAGGCCCGAGCAGUGGAGGUAUACACUUCUUUGGAGAUAGCCCCCCCUUCCACUGGGUGUACGCCGCCUUUUUGGCAACCAGGCAUUCCCGGACUUCCUUAGUGAGCCAGGGAGGCUUUUGAGCACUCUUGCCCCCCUUGCUUCUUGUUGGGAUUGUCACCCCUUGGGCCCUGAGUAUCGUCUCCUUAAGGAACGACCACUCAUCUUGGGCACUGAAUUCCCCUGCCCUUGAGAACCCCAGCACCUCUCCCACCAAUCUCCUCAACUCAUUGAAGUUGGCCCUCUUGAAGUUUAGGGCUACCGGCUUGCUGCAGGCCCUUGACACCCUGCGCUGGAUGAUGAAUUCCAGCAAGCGAUGAUCGCUUUCACCCAGGUGGUCAAGGACCUGGAGCCCCCUUACCAGAUCAUCGCCUGUGGCCAGGACCAGGUCCAACAGGGCAUUUCCUCUGGUAGUACUGUGCAUCUCCUGGGUUAAGUGGAGGUCCUGUAUCUUGGCCAGGAACCUCCUGGAACGGUCCGACCUGGCUGACUGCUCCUCCCAGCAGAUGUCCAGGUAAUUUAGAUCACCCAUGACAACUGCAUCCCUCGCCUUAAGUGCCUCUGCAGGCUGGCUCGAAAAUUCCCGGUCCAGCUCCCCCUCUUGGUUGGGGGGUCUGUAGUAGACCCCCACCGUUAAAUCCCUCUCCCCAUGACCCCCUUGUAUCUUGACCCAGAGCACUUCAGCUUGCCCCUCCUCUGACCCCAUUUUGCUGGCAGAAGAUGUGUAUUGCUCUUUGACAUAGAGUGCCACACCCCCUCCCUUCCUUCCUUCUCUAUCCCACCUGUAGAGCCUAUAGCCCCUAAUGCUAACUGCCCAGUCGUGGGAUGAAUCCCACCACGUUUCUGUAAGCCCCACUAUGUCUGGGUUUGAACUGGCUAUUCUGAGGGCGAGUUCCACCUGUUUUGUUCCCCAUACUCCGAGCAUUGGUAUACAGGCAUUUAAGGCCUUGCAUAGCUGUGCUUGCCACCCCCGGAUUAGGAAGACUAUUUGGACCCCUGUUUCUUACCUGGGCACUCCUUGCACGUGUCACCUGUCUUGCUCGGGUGGCGUCUCCUUGUCUUCCUGCGGCCCCCUCCCCCAGUGAGGCUAGUUUAAAGCUCACCGUACAAGAUCAGCUGCAGCAACUCCAUUGUGUAAGCCAACCAGGAUAUGUUCUUGGAAUGAAGCAAUGUUAUUUUCUGCUGCUUCCUUCAUAAGGGAGGUGGGGUGACAGGAUGGAUGGAAAGGAUUGGGUGGAAAAGUGACUAGCUGGAAGAAGCUGGUUUUAAGCUACAGCUAGCUUGAGUAAGCACAGCCCGAAAAAGAAGACUGGGAUUCUGCAGUCCUCAAGGUCAUGUAGCUGCAAAGGCCAGAUGAGAGGUGUGGGGCCAGAUUGGGCGCACAGGCCAGUUCUGUGUGUUGGAGCCAGUACCAGCCUUGUUGGAGCCUGCACCAGCCUUGUGUGCAGAGCGCAUGCUGGUUCCCAUCCUCUGCAGUGCUUGCAGCAGUUCCAAGCCCUGGUCCCUCACGCUGUAUGCAGUGCACGGGUCUGGUCCAAGACAUGCGCUGCAGACAGUACCUGCACCAGAGCAGCCCUUUGUGCUAGAUCUGCACAGGGCUGGCCUGUGGGCCUAAUUUGGACUGGCCCCAGAUGUAGCACAUGGGGCCGGUCCACCAUGGACACUGCAUGCAGCAUAUUUCCUGGACCAGCCCGCAUGCAUUGCAUGCCGCAUGUUCAGCAGGUCCAGACCAGUGUGCUGCAUGCAGAGCUCAGAGCCAGAGUGGGCACACAUGCAGCACGUAGGUUGGUCUGAGACCCACGGGCAACAUUGUGUGCUGGAUGAUAGGGCACUGUGGGCUGUAUCUUUGACAUCUAUGGAGGAAACAAUUUGCUUGGCUUAUAGCACGUAUGCCCAGAAUGAAGGCUGAUGGAAGACAUAGCCUCUCUGAAUUGGCACCCUGACCCCAAAAGAGUUUUAAAAAACUAUAUACACAUUUUAAAAACAAAUGGUGAAAAUACAAAGGUGUAUGGCCCUCUCAGGGGCUGAGUGCAUUUGAUGGCUGGCAAGUGUUUUGUGCUAUGUCAGCAGAGAUUGAAACCCUUUGCCUCAUGCUCUUCAUGGAGUUACACAUGUAGGACCAGCUGUCCAUCUCUUCACCUUGCAGAUUGCCUUCCAUGGUCUAGUGUGACACAAACUGGUCCUUGUUUUGUUGCAAGGUGAAGUGUUCAAUUUCUUGUGACACUUGUUCAGGUCAGGAAGAAGAAGAGUUGGAGGGUGUUCCUGGAGCUGGUCCCUGUGAGCCAAUUUUGUUGGCUUUUCAGUUUCACUGUCUUAGCCUGUCCCAGCAGGAAAUUGGCCAGGGAGGUCACACACCUUCAAAGAAAGGCUGGUCUUGAAAACAAAGGUUCUUUAUAUCAUGUAAGAGAGUGAAUAAAUAAUCCCCACAAAGAGAAGUCUUCUUCCAAGUACUCUGAUUUAAGGACAAAUUAUGGCAAAACAAGGAGCUACUGGGGGAAGUAGGUUUAUAGAGCUACUUUAUAGUUUAUACAAUGGGGCAUAUUUAGGAGCAACCCUACAGCUCUUGAAGUAUAACAGUUGUCUCUUCUUGGUUGGUUUUUACUGUUUGGUGGUUUGCAGGAGCAUAUCUUUGUGGUGCAGUAAGUAGGUAUAUACACACUGUGCCAGAUGCCCAAACCAUGUCUGUAACCCACUAUAAUUGGAUUUUAUCAAAGCAGGGUUAAUGGGAAUUUGGUGAGGUCAGAAGUCUGACUUUAACCCUAUAUAUAGAUAUAUUGAUGUGUGUGUGUUUGUGUGUGUGUGUGUGUGUGUGUGUAUAGAUUGAAAUUAAGAAGACAGAAGCGAUGCAUCAGCCUGCACCAGGAAAUCCUUAUGUAGAGUCUACUGUCAGAGUGAAUGAUCAAACCCUCCAGGCAGUGGACAGGUUCACCUAUCUUGGCAGUAUGCUGUCACGUGCAGUUCACAUUGAUGAUGAAACCAAUGCCAGAAUUGUCAAAGUAAGCAUGGCCUUUGGCAGACUAUGUGCAAAUGUGUGGGAGCACAGAAGCAUCUGUCAAGCAAACAAAACUGAAGGUCUACAAAGCCACUGUGUUGCCAAUCCUGAUGCAUGCAUGCAAAACCUGGACAGUGUAUAGAUGCCAUGCUAUGAAGCUGAACCACUUUUAUAUGGGGUGUCUUGAGGAAACUGAUAAGGAUAAGAUGGCAAAAGAAGGUUCCAAACACAGAAGUUCUCUCACAGGCAGGCAUUCCAAGCAUCCACACCCUGUUGCUGAAAUCACGGAUAAGAUGGGCAGGCCAUGUCACCAGGGUGUUAGAUGAACAACUACCAAAGAUCUGUGGCAAGUUAAAGGAGGGAAAGCUCUCAGGAAGGCCUGAAGAAAUGUUUCAAGGACUCCCUCAGGUCAUCCUUGAAAUGUCUCAGCAUUGACCCGAAAUUUUGGGAAGAUCUUGCUUGUGAUUGUUCCACCUGGCAAAGACUCAUCCACUCUGGACCAACAGUCCAGUAGGUCUUACCCAUACUGAUAAACCCUUAUUCAUACUGUCACCUACAGUCUACGAGUGAGGGAGAACUGCUGAGACAGAGCAGAAGUGCAAGCGGUGUAAAUCUCGCAACAGCAGCACAUCCACUGUUGAUCAAGCAGCCCAAAAUGGCAUCUCUUGCUCAGUGUGCCACAGAUGGUUCAGAGCACAAAUUGGUUUCAUCAGUCACUCUAUUCACAGAAACCAAACCAACUAGUGAUGCCAUGGUUAUCUUCAAAAUUGAGGAACAAACAGCAACAACAGUCCAGACUGAAGAAACACUAAAAAUAUAAAAUCUGCACCUUUUUGGAGACAUUGCUUAAAAAUACCAAAAAAUAAAUAACUUGCAGGGUUUUUUUUUUUUUUUUUUUAAUUAAAUCUGUAUCUUGAAGUAGGAAGCAUGCCAAACAACCCACCGCUCUAAUGACUUUUCUUUUUUGCCUUAUUUGGCCUCAUUCAUCAUCCUUGUUCCCUUUUUGGAGGAGAGAUUCUGUGCACUCCUGACAUUUUUAACUACUGCUCAGAAAUUAAUCUAGACAUAAAUAUACUUCUCUUUGAAGUCACCAUUCAGAGUCCUUUUCUGCAGAGUAUGGAUUAAGUGCUUGUCCUUAGCUUGAAACUAUUUAAUUGAAUUAAAUAAAAAGUAACAACAACAAAAAUCUAUUUGCUAGAAUAAAGAAUCACUAAUUCAUUAGAUAAUAUUUAGUCCAAAACACUGUGAUGAGCAUUCCUAGUUGGACAAAAUGGGAACCAUACCAUAACAAAGUUCCAUGAGAAACUUCUCUAAGCAACUUUAUCAUAUUUGUCUUUAGAACCUUUCUUGAAGCUUUUGAUAUAACCUAACGAGGUAGGCCCAAAGUCAAGGCCUCCUUGUUAUCCUGUGAAUUUGUUUAAUACUCCAGGGCCAUGAUUCUCAGUCAGGGAGCCAUGGUGCUCUGGGGUGCCGUAAGAUCCUUCCAGUGUUAAAUUGAAACGUUAAAAUAAUUUGAAAUGUUUAAAUAACUUUGGUCAAUUACAAAGCGGUCUCUAAAUUAGAAUUUAAGACUCUACUUCUUUUAGGCUUUUAAAAGCAGCAGCCCACAGAAGAGCAAAAAUGCUUCUGUAAGCUGCCAGAACUUUGGCUGAACAGGAGGAGUCAGUCUAAGACGUAAUGUAAAAAGUGUUGGUGUAAACACUUUUGUGCUGCUACUGCAUACUUACUACAUUUUUUACUUGGCUUUUAUCUUUUAGAAAAGUAACUCUUACAAAUCGUGUAAGAUCAUCUAAAUAUAAUAUUGUGUAUCAAGUUGGAAGCCAUAGUGGAUAUCUCGGUGGUCUGCUAGGCACCUCUGAUGCCUGUUGUACAGCAGUAAUUGUGGGAAGCUUGAGUGGACCUUAAGAAUCAUGGAAUGCUUGAUUGUAAAUCUCAGUGGCAUUUGUCUGAAGCACUUUGCCUUGUUCAGAUUUUUUCUUCAAAUGGUUGUCCAUAUCUUUUUCUACUCUUGGUACUUGAACAUCCCAUGUGUGUGAAGUCAUUCUUUUGGUCAGCAGGGUCAGGUGCAGUAAUGCCUAUGCUUUAGAUCUCCUCCCCCCCAUGGGCAUGAAGGAAAGAACAGGCCAAUCCAUAUCCCAUUUUCUUCUUAACUGCCUGUGACAGAAGUAUACAAUCCUUGCUUUUUGGUGACUCUCCAGCAGUUAGUGAUUUAUGUUGUAUAGCAAGCUUUAAGGGUUCCCAUUUUUCCCACCUGGCCAUUAUGUCAUUGAGUGACGUAGUACCUUUUGUGUUUAAGUAUAUCCCUGAGGGCACUGUGACCACUGAAAGUGAAACAGCUUUCAAUAUAAACAUGCCCACCAUCUGUUCUUGUGCUAUUAGAAGUUGUCUUCUGUUUGAAAGCAUGGUAGAAGCUUUGGUAACUGUGCCCUCCCUGCCCCGCCCCAUGAAGCAAUACGCGUGCCCGAGACAGAGUUUAUGGUGUGUCUAAACAUCACCCUAAGGAUGAUUACAUAACAUUUUUGUGGUUUGAUUCACUGUAGCUCUAGUAAGGAUCCUUUGAUGGUGCAGAAAUAUUUGAUUCAUAAGAGGAAUGACUCCUCCAGGAAAAAGCCCUGUACAAGUGGAAGAAAUUUGCAACUUGGUGUGACAUCGAUUAUAUCCCUUUAAUGCACAGAUCUCUGCUGUAUUGGAUAACAGGCAUACCUUAACAGACUAAUCAGUUAGAGCAUGCAGUCUUUCCCAACAUGGUAUGACUGUUCUUUGGAGGCCACAUCAAAGAAUUGGAGAAUGAGUGUCCAUUGUUUUCAUUCCAGAAAUUAUAUUUAUUGGUUUUGAGGUGUGUGAAACUAUUGACAGUUACACUAAUUUAGACCCUCGGAUAUUAAUAAAGCCCAUUCUAUCAGGGCAUAGGCAGCCACUACUUCUUCCUAGGAAACUAUUUCUCUUUUGGUCUUCUGUAAAGCAGAUACUUCAGUUGCAUGCCAUAUUUUACCAAGUGUUCUUCCAUAGAAAAAAGUAUCCAAGUCUGACACUGAUUUGGGAAGAACUAUUCUGCAGUACUUAAAUGGACCCUAAGCUACUGUCUCUUUAUAUUAGAUUAAUAAUGACAGAUCUUUUUGGCUGCUGGGCUGGAUGACUGGCGCCAGGUCUGUCCAGGGGCCGGAUCUGGUCUGUGGGCCUGAUCCAGCAUGCAGUGCUGGCCUAUUUAGGGCCCAGUGCAGGCACAUGGAAACAGCCUGCCCAAGAACUGAUGCAGUUUCCCCAUCACCAAAUUUGCGGACCCCUGGCGAGACCCACAGACCAGAUUUCCAUGGGUCCAUGGGCUGGGGGGUUGAGCACCCUGCACUAGAUUAUAAUAAUAUAAUUAGAAUUUGGGUUGACAGACGUCUCGGAGUAUUCUGGUUACCGUAACUUCUUACUCAACAGAUCUCCUUGUUUAGUUGCAGGCUCUAAUAAAAAUGGUAUGUUUUUUCUGUUGUUUUGCCUUCAGAGUUGAUAUGAUUUUGAGCUAGAUUGUUUUCUUUGUAGAAAGGUGCAGCUAUCUUGCUCUGCAGACUUACCUGCUUAUGGAUCAUCAAUAAACAACUUGAUUAUGCCUUUCAGAGCUUAGAUUAAAUCUGAAGUCACUAUUUAGAGAAGAAAAAUCUUUUGUUGUUGUUGUCUUCUGUAUACUAUUUACUUGUAUGUUACUCAGAAUUGAUCUAGAAUCAGUAGGGAUGCUUUAAGCUUGUAAUGCUAUUUUUAGAGUUACUUUUCAGUGUAAAACACACUUUAAAAGAACUCUGAGAAAUAUGGCUUCCUAAUAAUCGCAGAAAAAAUUUCAUGAUUACUGCUAUGUAAAUCAGUUAAAUCAACAUAAUUUGCUUUAUAAAAACAUUUUAUAAAUAAUUAUGAAAUACUGAAUUUUUUAAAGAAAUAUUAGUGUUCAACAAUAUGAUUCUUCCUAAACAUCACACUAGAGCACAAGUAGAAAAUUAACAAUAAGUGAUAUAACUGAUCUUGAAAUAUCUAUAUUUGCGAUUACUUUUAAUAUUCUGAUUUUUUUUAAAUUGAUCAUAUUGGGGAUUUCAGUUUUUUGACUUGAUAUUUGAUCAUAUCCAUUUGAUAUAAUAGUUAUGCAGUUUAUUACAAAUUGUUAUUUGGGAACCAUGGAGGUUAUACAGUAGACAAAGCUAUUUUUAAAAACUGUCCUUCUAUUUAAUAUUUCCUUUGUGUAUGUCUUGAGUGAAAACGUUAACUUUUUAAAGUUUAUUUACUACGUGGUCAUAUUUGAUUUGAAUAGAAUUUUGGACAGAAGAUUGUAAAGGUAACUAUGAACUUAGUCCUUUGCACUUGUUUAUUUACUUUGAAUACAACAUAAAGUUAGCUUGUUUUGGAUUUUCAAAGAAAAUAAUUAUAUAUAUUUUUUGUAGUCAGUUUUUUACUGAUUUUUAUUUUCAUAGUUAUUUUCUGUACGUAUAUCUUAGCUAUUUCUGUGAAGUGAGUAGGAAGAUCUGUGUGGUAUCUGAAAGUUUUGAGUCACAUUUUAAUCAUGCUGGCACAUGUAUUUAGUCUACAAAGCACAAGACUUCUUUUUACGCAGGCAAGUGAUUUGUUUUUAGAUACUGUGGUAAAGUUUUUAGUAGUGCUUGGCUUUGAUUUUUUUUUUUUUAACGGAGAUGUCAAGCAAAAGGCUGAAAAUCUAGAAGAUUGCUUGCUGAUAGUUAAAUAGAAACUAGAACUGAUUACAUGUAUUGUAGCUUUGCCAGCAGCAACUUUUUAAAGAGAAUUUUUCUUACCAGAGGAAAGUUUUUGAGGGGCAUUGAUUUGAAGCAUCUGUUUAAAGAAUAAUUGUCAUAACUUUUUAUUUAUGUAUUUUGAUGCAUAUAAUUAACAAAGAUUAUUAAUUUGCCUUAAAUAACAAAAAUUGUUUUUUCCCAAGUCUAACCAAGUUUUACUUCAUCUUUAAAGCAAAUAGUUUGUUAAAUUACGGUUUUGCAGUUCCUAUGCAAAUCUGCAAUGCCACAAAAACAAGUUUGUGACUUCAUUCCUGGAUGAAGCAACAUUUUGGUUAUGAGAGAUUAAAAAAUGGAAAAUUAUUGCCAAGUUGCAGGGAAAGUUGGUACUACAUUUAACAGUCCAAAUUUCAUUGUAAGCAAGCUACAAACUUUUCUCACAAAUAGGUAUCUGUGCAUUCCAUUGGAGUUCGAUCCUGUAGGAAUCAGUGGCAGCCACAUUUCACUUUUUCACUUUUCAGUGAGAUUUCCACAGGUGCAUCUGAGUGCAAAGUUAUUUGUAGGAUAACUGGCAGGUGUUUUUAAUUGUUUGGAAGUAAGUUACAAUAAUAUAUUGAAGCUGGACUUAUGCUUCUGUAGUUCAGUUUCAGAAGUAAGGUCUUGUUGCAGAUAGAAAUGUAGAUACCCAUUAAAUAUUUAUUUAACCUGUUGUAAUUACAACAGAUUAAAUGAUUAAUUGGUAUUGCAGCCCCUGGCCUGGCUGACACGGGGCUGCUUCAGCUUGGCUUAUGGGGUGCCUCUGCCAGCCUGGCACCAAUGGAGUGCUUCCAGUUGCCCGAGGUGUGGUGGGGAUGCAGUAGCUCCCCAGGGCCCAGCCUCACGACAGACAGGGUGGGAGACUGGGUCCUAUCCGAGCCCAGGUCUGGGCAGGGCAUGCCAUGGGGCUGAGCCAUGGGCCCAGGGGAGUUGCCCUACACACUCUUGUUUCCACCUUGCUUUGCCAGGCCCAGUGGCAGCUGUAGCAAUAGAAGGCACUGCACUUGGCAUGGCAUGGUAGUGCUGGGUUCCAACCCGUAGCUCUUUGAAGUCAGACCAGGGGGCGGGACACGGAUGGACAGAUUGAGCCCUGGGCCUGGGCCUGCGCCUGCCCUCCCCUACCAUGGAGGAGGGGUUGCACCCAGUUGCCCAGAGCAACGUGGGGAGCAGGGGGUCCAAAGAAGCCCUGCCUCAUAGGCAGCACAGCCCAGGAAACCAGCAAGGGCUGGCAGCCACUGGUGCUCAGCUUCCCAGGGCCAGCUGCAGCAGCCAGCAAGGGAGGGAGGAGCUGCCUGCCUCCCUUCCUCGCACCCUCCUGCACUGCUGCAGCUGACCCCAGGAAGCCAUGUGCUAGUGGCUGCAGACCCUUGCUUCCUGGGCUGUUCUGCCUGCUACAGAAUGUGGCUUGUAGACUCUGGCGAUGUAGACUUGCUUGUAGACUCCCUGUCACCUGCUAUAAACAGUCCAGGCUCAAGGCCAGGCCCCUGCUACAGAGUCUGUACAGCCUAACUAUUAGGUAUUAGUCAGCCCUCCAUCUUUCCCCUCCCCAUUCCUCCUCCUUGCUCCUCCCUCCCUCCCUCUGCAUGGCUUAGCUUUUAGGUAUUAGUCACCCCUCCCCCAUGCCACUCCUCCCUCCCUCUGCAUCCGCCUAGCUUUUAGGUCUUAGUCACCUUUCCCUGUUUCCCCCCCCCCCUUGCCACCUCCUCUCUCCUAUUGUUCCCUCCUGCCCUGCCACCUUCUGGUUCCUGCUGGGGCACAGUGGUGCUUCUCUUCUAACCCUGCUUUCCUGUCAGACUGUGCUGGCCCCAGGCUAAGUGAUAACCAGUAAACUAGAAUCAGUUAUUGCUGAGCUGAUUGGUUAAACCAGGGGCAGGCAAAAUGGUGGAUCUGUUAAGCAGCCAGACUUCAUUUCCCAGCAUCCCCUACUCGCAUAUCUGUGGCCAGUUUCCAUGAAGAGCCCAGGAGUGGUGGGGCCAGGGAGCUGCUCUGGGGCCAGGAUUUUGCAGUGGUGACAGCAUGGGUUGGAGCCAGGUCAAAGCCGAGAUCAGCUGCCUGCAUGCCCUCCAUGCAAAAUCCUGGCCCGAGAGCAGCUUCCUGCUCAGCCAUGUGCCCUGCUAGUGCUGUUUGAGCCAGUCUCUGUGGAAAACCUGCCCACUUGCAUGCCUUGCCAGUGCUGCUUGGGCUGGUCUCCAUGGAAGCCCUAGCCCCACGCUGUCACAGUCCCACAGCUCAUGGGGUCUCCAUGGAAACUGGCUAUAGCAACAUGGGCAAGGGCUGCUGGGAAAUCAAGUCUACCACAGGCCAGAUCAGGCCCAUGGGCUGGACUUUGCCUGCGCCUGGGUUAAAUGAUUGAUUAAUCACAUCCCUAGAUAUAGGUGUGGUUGGUAAUUAAUUCGGGCUAAGCUCAAUUUCUGUACGCUUCACUAACUUGCAUUCAUACAGCACCAUUAUUAAUAUGUAUUAACUGGUAGGAAAGUAUCUUUUAUAUUGUUGUUUGAAAACAGUUAGGUCAUGGAUCCUUAACUCACAAGUGUACUGUCAUUCAUUUGUGCAGUUUUGGGUCCUGUGAGUGUCAUCCCAAAUGCCUUAGCAUCCCUCCAGGACCAACAUUUAUCUUUAUACAUAUUCUCUUUAUCGCUCUGUUGAUGGGUUGUCACUUUAUUACUUGAUUGUUGGCAUGCAGCUAGGUUAGGCCUUUUUACCAUUAGCUAGCAUAACUGUACUGUAAUGCUAUACAACUUCCCCGUCCUACUCACCCCAAGAUGUUCAGAAGUCUUGGAUUUCUUUGCCCUUUGUGGGAAAGAUGAAGGUUCAGGAAACUCCAGAGAAGAAAAAUUGCAACAAAGAUCAUUGCAGUAUUGCUAAAGGGAUGGCCAACUGGUAUCACAACCUGGAUGCCCUGUAAUUGCAGACCAGAAAUAAGAAUCUGAAAUUGUCUUAAAAGGAAGCUAACCAGAAAAACUGGACCCUAAGCAAUAUUCCUGUUACCUGUGUAAGUACUGAGGAGCCAGACUGACGUUUGCUACUGUAUGCCACUUUUGAAUCAGUUUAGGGCAGACAGCACUAAGGCAACUGAGAACAGCAGGAGCUCUGGGUCUGACUUGAAGUCUGGUAGUGAAAACUUGCUUCAAAGCCAGGAUUUCUUUUAAAUGCAAGAUUUUAUGUGGAUGCUAAGCCCGUAAGAAAAUCAAGACAACACUGGUAAGCACACCAGCUUCCCAGGCCUGGAAAAGGGCUCUUAGCCAAAUCUGCACCUGGGUAAUCAGGCCAUUAAUGCCCAACAUCUAGCAAAACCUGAGGGGGAAUGGAAGAGGAAGAAGCAUUUGAAUUCCUAGGAAGUGCAAGGGAGUGAAGCCUGGCAAGUCAGGAAGUACAGAAUAACUUUCAGGGCUGAGAGGGAGAAGGACAGAGGCACACCAGGACCUGGAACUGAAGUCUUCCGGUUGCUGUCUACAGUGAGUUUUGCAGUGGACAGGGAGGCAAUGGAAAAGAACAAGGAGAUAGAGACAGCUUUUGGAGAUCAUAAAAGUUUCUCUGGAAAACAUAUUCCAUCAGAGCUCCUCUAUUGGACCAGUACAACAGCCUCAAGCAAGUUGAACCAGAUCAUGGCUACAGAUUCUCAAGAAACCCACAAAUGUGACUGCGGAAGUGGUUUCUGUGAGCCUACGUUUUGAGUGUUCCAAACCUAGAGGGUUUCUGCCAUUGUUUUUCAGCCUUCGUGAGUCCUGGAGAAUGACAAGGCCCUAAGCAGCCCAUGACUAUACCUUAAGGCUGAAAGCUGUGUGUACUUUCUUUGGGAUGGUUUGAACUGAUAAUUUUAAACAAGUACACUAUUUUUCCCUUCUUUUUAGUUGUAGUUUUACUAUAUGUACUUUUGCAUAGUUUCUCACAGCAAUAAUUAUAUGCUUUUGCACUUGAACUUUGUAGAAAUUGAGUAGUUUCAUUCAACUGUAAUUUUGAAAAUAAAAAUUGCAUAAGUUCUAUAAAAGUA